Molecule: unclassified non-coding RNA, 245 nt
Filed under: Hevea brasiliensis (rubber tree)
Lineage: Eukaryota; Viridiplantae; Streptophyta; Magnoliopsida; Malpighiales; Euphorbiaceae
Source: RNAcentral
AAUUAACACUAUAAAUAGGAAAAUGAUGAAAAAUGUUAUUUAACUUUUGCCCAUUAAAGAGAAUGGUUUUCAGUCCAUGGAGUGAGCCUGUCACCUAUUGUAGAGAGGAGUUUUGCCAAUUACUACGGAUUUGGCUCUACACAUUGAUGAAGGGCUUUUGCCCAUUGUAGUAGAGAGAGGCUUCAGCCUAAGGUGGAGAAAGGACAUAGAAUUCAAAAGGAAAUGAUUUUUGUCUAUUGGUGAGA